Rattus norvegicus (Norway rat) is the source of this 306-nucleotide non-coding RNA. Lineage: Eukaryota; Metazoa; Chordata; Mammalia; Rodentia; Muridae. The record is from RefSeq and is a predicted model, not a curated record.
GUUCUUUGUUCUAUAUGUUUAGUGUCUUGAGUAUUAUGUACCAAAUGGGAUUUCUUUCCUCAUCCAAUCUCUUUUGUUUUAUAUAUGUUUUCUCUACCUCCUGUACAAAAGAAUAGAGGCAUCACCUUCUAUUUUUUGGGACCUAGGUAACUCGCUGUUGGAGAACACCACAGUGUCACUGAGACCCAAUGUCCAGGAAGAGGAAUUUCCAAGUGUUUAUAACACAGACAAAUUUGGGCCACCUGUUUAUAUGAUGCCAUGUAGGUUUGUUUGUUUGUUUUAUAAAAUAUAUACAUUUUUAAUGUA